Molecule: small nucleolar RNA, 67 nt
Filed under: Cairina moschata (Muscovy duck)
Lineage: Eukaryota; Metazoa; Chordata; Aves; Anseriformes; Anatidae
Description: domestica (muscovy Duck (domestic type)) Small nucleolar RNA SNORD42 (ENSCMMG00000001182.1)
Rfam family: Small nucleolar RNA SNORD42
About the family: snoRNA U42 is found in intron 3 of the ribosomal protein L23a (RPL23a) gene in humans and is also present in mice. U42 is a member of the C/D class of snoRNA which contain C (UGAUGA) and D (CUGA) box motifs. Most of the members of the box C/D family function in directing site-specific 2'-O-methylation of substrate RNAs.
Source: RNAcentral
UAUCUUAAUAUGGAAAAAAUAAUAAUCUGUUGAAAAAAAAAAAUCAGCAUAGGAACCUCAGAAGACA